UAAGACGUAGGUGGCAAGCGUUGUUCGGAAUCACUGGGCAUAAAGCGCACGUAGGCGGCUGAGUAAGUCGGAUGUGAAAUACCUCGGCUCAACCGAGGAACUGCGUCCGAUACUGCUCGGCUUGAGGUCCGGAGGGGAGAGUGGAAUUCCCGGUGGAGCGGUGAAAUGCGUAGAGAUCGGGAAGAACGCCGGCGGCGAAAGCGACUCUCUGGUCGGAAUCUGACGCUGAGGUGCGAAAGCUAGGGGAGCAAACGGGAUUAGAUACCCCGGUAGUCCUAGCCAUAAACGAUGGGCGCUAGGUAGUGGUCGUUCCUAUGCGAUCACUGCUGGAGCAAAUGUCUUAAGCGCCCCGCCUGGGAAGUACGGUCGCAAGACUA
RNAcentral lists this ribosomal RNA (377 nucleotides) under uncultured bacterium. Its description in RNAcentral is "bacterial SSU rRNA". It matches the Rfam family "Bacterial small subunit ribosomal RNA", at positions 521 to 896 of the family's 1533-position model. The record is from RNAcentral.